RNAcentral lists this ribosomal RNA (253 nucleotides) under uncultured bacterium. Its description in RNAcentral is "partial 16S ribosomal RNA". It matches the Rfam family "Bacterial small subunit ribosomal RNA", at positions 524 to 776 of the family's 1533-position model. The record is from RNAcentral.
UACGUAGGGUGCGAGCGUUAAUCGGAAUUACUGGGCGUAAAGCGCGCGUAGGUGGUUUGUUAAGUUGGAUGUGAAAUCCCCGGGCUCAACCUGGGAACUGCAUUCAAAACUGACUGACUAGAGUAUGGUAGAGGGUGGUGGAAUUUCCUGUGUAGCGGUGAAAUGCGUAGAUAUAGGAAGGAACACCAGUGGCGAAGGCGACCACCUGGACUAAUACUGACACUGAGGUGCGAAAGCGUGGGGAGCAAACAGG